This 394-nucleotide ribosomal RNA is filed under the name uncultured Flavobacteriaceae bacterium. Its description in RNAcentral is "bacterial LSU rRNA". It matches the Rfam family "Bacterial large subunit ribosomal RNA", at positions 1 to 414 of the family's 2925-position model. The record is from RNAcentral. Lineage: Bacteria; Pseudomonadati; Bacteroidota; Flavobacteriia; Flavobacteriales; Flavobacteriaceae.
AAUAAGCUAAAUAAGAGCGUAUGGGGAAUGCCUAGGCUCUCAGAGGCGAUGAAGGACGUGAUAAGCUGCGAAAAGCUGCGGGGAUUGGCACAUACAAAUUGAUCCGCAGAUAUCCGAAUGGGGCAACCCAGCAUGUUGAAGACAUGUUAUCCGUAAGGAGGCGAACCCGGAGAACUGAAACAUCUAAGUACCCGGAGGAGAAGAAAACAAAAGUGAUUCCGAUAGUAGCGGCGAGCGAACUUGGAAUAGCCCAAACCAGUAUUGUUACGGCAAUACUGGGGUUGUAGGACUGCGAUAUUUGAGCUAUAAUGAAUUAGAACUGUUUGGAAAGACAGGCCAUAGAAGGUGAUAGCCCUGUAUAAGUAAAGAUUAGUAGAUAGCAGUAUCCUGAGUA